GUGAACGCUGGCGGUAGGCCUAACACAUGCAAGUCGAACGGCAGCACAGUAAGAGCUUGCUCUUACGGGUGGCGAGUGGCGGACGGGUGAGGAAUACAUCGGAAUCUACUUUUUCGUGGGGGAUAACGUAGGGAAACUUACGCUAAUACCGCAUACGACCUACGGGUGAAAGCAGGGGAUCUUCGGACCUUGCGCGAGUGAAUGAGCCGAUGUCGGAUUAGCUAGUUGGCGGGGUAAAGGCCCACCAAGGCGACGAUCCGUAGCUGGUCUGAGAGGAUGAUCAGCCACACUGGAACUGAGACACGGUCCAGACUCCUACGGGAGGCAGCAGUGGGGAAUAUUGGACAAUGGGCGCAAGCCUGAUCCAGCCAUACCGCGUGGGUGAAGAAGGCCUUCGGGUUGUAAAGCCCUUUUGUUGGGAAAGAAAAGCAGCAGGUUAAUACCCCGCUGUUCUGACGGUACCCAAAGAAUAAGCACCGGCUAACUUCGUG
Molecule: ribosomal RNA, 491 nt
Filed under: uncultured bacterium
Lineage: Bacteria
Description: partial 16S ribosomal RNA
Rfam family: Bacterial small subunit ribosomal RNA
Source: RNAcentral